RNAcentral lists this ribosomal RNA (460 nucleotides) under uncultured bacterium. RNAcentral's name for it is "partial 16S ribosomal RNA". It matches the Rfam family "Bacterial small subunit ribosomal RNA", at positions 338 to 795 of the family's 1533-position model. The record is from RNAcentral.
CCUACGGGAGGCUGCAGUGAGGAAUAUUGGUCAAUGGACGAGAGUCUGAACCAGCCAAGUAGCGUGAAGGAUGACUGCCCUAUGGGUUGUAAACUUCUUUUAUAUGGGAAUAAAAUGUUCCACGUGUGGGAUUUUGUAUGUACCAUAUGAAUAAGGAUCGGCUAACUCCGCGCCAGCAGCCGCGGUAAUACGGAGGAUCCGAGCGUUAUCCGGAUUUAUUGGGUUUAAAGGGAGCGUAGGUGGAUUGUUAAGUCAGUUGUGAAAGUUUGCGGCUCAACCGUAAAAUUGCAGUUGAAACUGGCAGUCUUGAGUACAGUAGAGGUGGGCGGAAUUCGUGGUGUAGCGGUGAAAUGCUUAGAUAUCACGAAGAACUCCGAUUGCGAAGGCAGUUCACUGGACUGCAACUGACACUGAGGCUCGAAAGUGUGGGUAUCAAACAGGAUUAGAUACCCGAGUAGUC